This 530-nucleotide ribosomal RNA is filed under the name uncultured bacterium. RNAcentral describes it as "partial 16S ribosomal RNA". It matches the Rfam family "Bacterial small subunit ribosomal RNA", at positions 355 to 878 of the family's 1533-position model. The record is from RNAcentral.
UGGGGAAUUUUGGACAAUGGGCGAAAGCCUGAUCCAGCAAUGCCGCGUGUGUGAAGAAGGCCUUCGGGUUGUAAAGCACUUUUGUCCGGAAAGAAAUCCUCUGGGUUAAUACCUCGGGGGGAUGACGGUACCGGAAGAAUAAGCACCGGCUAACUACGUGCCAGCAGCCGCGGUAAUACGUAGGGUGCAAGCGUUAAUCGGAAUUACUGGGCGUAAAGCGUGCGCAGGCGGUUUUGUAAGACGGAUGUGAAAUCCCCGGGCUUAACCUGGGAACUGCAUUCGUGACUGCAAGGCUAGAGUAUGGCAGAGGGGGGUAGAAUUCCACGUGUAGCAGUGAAAUGCGUAGAGAUGUGGAGGAAUACCGAUGGCGAAGGCAGCCCCCUGGGCCAAUACUGACGCUCAUGCACGAAAGCGUGGGGAGCAAACAGGAUUAGAUACCCUGGUAGUCCACGCCCUAAACGAUGUCAACUAGUUGUUGGGGAUUCAUUUCCUUAGUAACGUAGCUAACGCGUGAAGUUGACCGCCUGGGG